This 411-nucleotide ribosomal RNA is filed under the name uncultured Nitrosovibrio sp. RNAcentral describes it as "bacterial SSU rRNA". It matches the Rfam family "Bacterial small subunit ribosomal RNA", at positions 8 to 399 of the family's 1533-position model. Lineage: Bacteria; Pseudomonadati; Pseudomonadota; Betaproteobacteria; Nitrosomonadales; Nitrosomonadaceae. The record is from RNAcentral.
AGAGUUUGAUCCUGGCUCAGAAUGGACGCUGGCGGCGUGGUUAAGACAUGCAAGUCGAACGGGAUGAACGGUGUAGCAAUACAUUGUUCAUUCAGUGGCGAACGGGUGCGUAACACGUGAACAAUCUACCUCCAAGAGGGGAAUAGCUCGCCGAAAGGCGAAUUAAUACCCCAUACAGUUGCCUCUCGCAUGAGGGGCAUACCAAAGUCGGGGACCGCAAGGCCUGACGCUAGGAGAGGAGUUCGCGGCCUAUCAGCUAGUUGGCGAGGUAACGGCUCACCAAGGCUAAGACGGGUAGCUGGUCUGAGAGGAUGAUCAGCCACACUGGGACUGAGAUACGGCCCAGACUCCUACGGGAGGCAGCAGUGGGGAAUAUUGGACAAUGGGGGCAACCCUGAUCCAGCAAUGCCG